Molecule: ribosomal RNA, 135 nt
Organism: Fukomys damarensis (Damara mole-rat)
Lineage: Eukaryota; Metazoa; Chordata; Mammalia; Rodentia; Bathyergidae
Source: Ensembl
GUCUCCGGCCAUACCACCCUGAAUGCACCUGAUCUCAGAAGCUAAGCAGGGUCGGGCCUGGUUAGUACUUGCAUGUGAGAUUCUUACUAUUUUUACGGUAUGGCAAAUAGUAAGUACACAGAAACAUAGGAGACA